Molecule: ribosomal RNA, 454 nt
Filed under: uncultured bacterium
Lineage: Bacteria
Description: partial 16S ribosomal RNA
Rfam family: Bacterial small subunit ribosomal RNA
Source: RNAcentral
GAUGAACCCUGACAGAAUGCUUAACACAUGCAAGUCAACUUGAACUUCGGUUUGGGUGGCGGACGGGUGAGUAACGCGUAAAGAACUUGCCUCACAGAUAGGGACAACAUUUGGAAACGAAUGCUAAUACCUGAUAUUAUGAUUAUAUGGCAUCGUAUAAUUAUGAAAGCUAUAUGCGCUGUGAGAGAGCUUUGCGUCCCAUUAGCUAGUUGGAGAGGUAACGGCUCACCAAGGCGAUGAUGGGUAGCCGGCCUGAGAGGGUGAUCGGCCACAAGGGGACUGAGACACGGCCCUUACUCCUACGGGAGGCAGCAGUGGGGAAUAUUGGACAAUGGACCAAGAGUCUGAUCCAGCAAUUCUGUGUGCACGAUGAAGUUUUUCGGAAUGUAAAGUGCUUUCAGUUGGGAAGAAAAAAAUGACGGUACCAACAGAAGAAGUGACGGCUAAAUACGUG